This 484-nucleotide long non-coding RNA is filed under the name Mus spretus (western wild mouse). Its description in RNAcentral is "predicted gene 15384 (ENSMSPG00010039825.1)". Lineage: Eukaryota; Metazoa; Chordata; Mammalia; Rodentia; Muridae. The record is from RNAcentral.
GUGUGUUUGGGUAUCCAGGACUGGCUGAGGUGGGAGUGCUGGUUUCUGAUGAUGGGAAGGUGCACAGAUAUCUGGAGUUCAGACCUGCCUCCUGGCUGAAGAUGAAUGCCAGAAACAGUACCUGUCCCAGAAGAUGUGUUGCCUCUGCAGUCUGCACACUCACCUGCACAGACUGGUCUCCGAGGGACGCGGUACACAAGAUGGCUCUCUCACCUGCUCUGGUGGUCAGAGCCCUCCAGGGUGGACACCUCUCCUCUGGCGGGGAAGGUGCCCAGGUGUCUGGAGCCUGAAAUAUGGUCUGUUCCAGAAUCUGUUGCUUCUGUCUGUCCCAUAAGCUGUGUUGCUUCUGCAGUCUGCACUCUUACCUGCGCAGAUUGGUCUCUAAGGGACCCGGGACCCAAGAUCUUGAGGUUGUAUCUUACAUAUAUUUAUGGGUCUUAUUGAUAGUUUUAUUGCAGUUCUUGGGGAUUUAGUCCAGGGCCUU